UACAGAGGCCUCGAGCGUUAGGCGGAAUCACUGGGCUUAAAGCGUGUGUAGGUGGAUGCCUAAGUGCCUUGUGAAAUCCCAUGGCUUACCAUGGAAUUGCUGGGCAUACUGGGCGUCUUGAGCCACUCAGGGGCUACCGGAACAAACGGUGGAGCGGUGAAAUGCGUAGAUAUGCGGAGGAACACCGAUGGCGAAGGCAAUCCCCUGGGCCUGUACUGACGCUCAUGCACGAAAGCGUGGGGAGCAAACAGG
This 252-nucleotide ribosomal RNA is filed under the name uncultured bacterium. RNAcentral describes it as "partial 16S ribosomal RNA". It matches the Rfam family "Bacterial small subunit ribosomal RNA", at positions 524 to 776 of the family's 1533-position model. The record is from RNAcentral.